Anguilla anguilla (European eel) is the source of this 322-nucleotide long non-coding RNA. RefSeq lists it as uncharacterized. Lineage: Eukaryota; Metazoa; Chordata; Actinopteri; Anguilliformes; Anguillidae. The record is from RefSeq and is a predicted model, not a curated record. The transcript is spliced from 2 exons.
CAUGCUGAAUUCGGUCGGUCGCGCAACUCGUAGAUCAGCGUGAAGUUAGUAACAAUUGUACACAAUUUAGUGGAGAAAUGCCAAACCGCGUGAUACUUUCAGUCCUACGUGACAACGCCUCAAGAAGAAGUAAUGCUGCGAUAGAUUGGGGACCUGUAUUCCUAUCUCGCGCAAAACGCACGCUGGGAUAGGUUAAAUGCUCAUCAGGAAGAGAUGAGCAUUAACCCGUACCAAAGUGAUGGAAGAGGAACGGGUGGAGAAAGAAAGGAACCGCUCACGAUCAGAAAGCUGUGAAACACGCUGGAGGGAGUGUACAUCUGAA